UCCUUACGGAGUACAUUAAUUUUACAAAAGGCAUUUUUAUUAACUGAAAGCUUUUAGAGAAAAAUUCUAAAAGCGGUUGUGUAUCGCUUUUUUUGCCUUGGGCUAUUGUAUUUAGUUUUGAGAGAACAACCUCUCUUAAAAUUGUUCUUUGAAAACUAAAUAGUAAUAAAGAUAUUACAACGACAUCAAAAAUAUAAAUUAAUUAAGGUUAAUUUGUUUUGAUACCGAGUUUAAAUUAUUGAAUAAUAAUUUAUUAAAAUGUCUUUGAAUACAUCAUAACAAUAUAACAAUAGGACAUAUUGAUACUAACUUUUAAAAAAGU
RNAcentral lists this unclassified non-coding RNA (322 nucleotides) under Mycoplasmopsis synoviae. Its description in RNAcentral is "Mycoplasma synoviae 16S-23S ribosomal RNA intergenic spacer". The record is from RNAcentral. Lineage: Bacteria; Bacillati; Mycoplasmatota; Mycoplasmoidales; Metamycoplasmataceae.